Non-coding RNA from Podarcis muralis (Common wall lizard), 401 nucleotides. Lineage: Eukaryota; Metazoa; Chordata; Lepidosauria; Squamata; Lacertidae. The record is from RefSeq and is a predicted model, not a curated record.
AGAACAUCAAGAAGCUGCCGGCGAAAUCCCUCCAGUUGUGAGAGCCCAAUCCUGAGGGAUAAAGAAUAUCAGAUGCACUGAUGCAGGCAAAGAAAAGCAGGCAGCUUCCCACUCCAGCAUGGAGAGACUGCAGUCUUCUCUGCCUCAGAUGCGUGGAGGAGCAUGAUCUACAUGAGGACAAAGUGAUAUGAUUUACAUCACUACUGAUGUAUUGAACAACUGUGGCCACAGAGUCUGUCAUCAUAGGCAUCCCUCUGGGCAUUCAACAGAAGCAACUCCUAUCUGUGACAGGGCACGUCAGAAGUUGACACCUGAGUUAACAGAGGGACGUGGGUGGAAAUAUGAACCUAUCUCCUGACCACAAUGCACAGAAGCCUCACCAAAUCACGCCCAAAGGCCUG